RNAcentral lists this long non-coding RNA (1400 nucleotides) under Eptatretus burgeri (inshore hagfish). Its description in RNAcentral is "lncRNA (ENSEBUG00000017301.1)". Lineage: Eukaryota; Metazoa; Chordata; Myxini; Myxiniformes; Myxinidae. The record is from RNAcentral.
GUCAUCAUUUCCAUAAAGGUACCAAGUACAGAGCUUGUGCUUUCAGGUGCUUUGAGUGCUCGAUACUGCAAUUAUUCAAGCUUGAAUUGACCUGCUCAAACAUGCGAUGGAAAUGAAUGACACACACACACACUUUUCAUUUCUUCAAUUCUGAUGCCCCAUCAAGCAGUUUUGUUUCACUAACUCCCAAAUAAUGUCAAUCCUGUUUCAUUGUGCUUGUGUCCAUCUCUUUACACGUGUAAUGACGAAGGUCUUAAAGGAUUACAGCAUGUACACAGAUAACCCACCUAUGACAUGUAAGAAGGAAAAAGGGAACGUGAAUGGACUGAUAAAACUGGGGGACUGCUCUGGCAUCCUACAGGUAUGCUUUCAAAAUAUUGGGGUUGAGUCAGUUAUGUUAGAGCAGCUUAAUUAGGUUGAGCCUUAAUAAACACCAACAUUAAUAUCUGUGUACAAAGAUUAUAUAAAAGAGGUUAAAAGGUUUCAUGGUACAUUUAUGCAUGAUGUCCUGUUUUUCUAUUUUUCUCCAGCGGCGAAAGAAACCGGAAGCGUUGGAUCUACAAAGGCCCUGGUUGGAUCAAACCCCACACAAGGACUUUGUCAAAACGUCACCAUCAAGGACAAGUCAUCUCAGCCCACGAGCAGUGCAUAAAGAUCUGUGGCAUGCCUCACGACCCUACAGCAACGAGAUUGAUACAUACGAGUCCAAUUCAUUCACUGAAGAUGUUAAUUCUGACUCUAUUGUAAAGAAAGCACCUGGUCUGAAAAUGAAAACGAACAUUGAUGCUAUUAAGGAAGAGCUGGCCAAAGCUGAGGCCCUGUUGGGAAGUCUGGAAAGAAGUGUGAGCUCGGCGAGCUUCACCAGCCCUCCAGCCAGCCCAUGUACCAGUUUCAUUCACACUGCUGGAAGACGCUGGAGCAACACCUCGAGUCCGACUACGAGCUCUGUUGGGAGUCCCUAUAAGUCAACAACAAGCCCAAGCAACAGCCCUACCAUGAGUCCUUUGGAUAAGGUCAUGACAUUUCCUCACAAGUCAGAUCUCUGUGAGAAAGCUUCCACCUUUUCUGGAAGUUCUUCAAGCAUUGGGACCCAGUUAUCAAACUCUUCUGCCUUGCUCAUCCCCAGUACAACUUCCCAUCAGGUUCAAAGUAAUAUAUCUUCACUCCUGCAGCGUAAUGCUGGAAGUGUUUGGGUUCAAAGCCUUCCGUCUCCCACUGGUCGACUGACUUUUCUUACUAACACCAUUGGCAGCACCAGGGAGGCAAAGUUUGCACAGUCUGGUCAGCUGUUUCGCCCACAGGCUUCACCAAUGAUUAGGACAAUACCCACCACCCAAAUCCAUGAGAAAGAGCAACAACCCCUCUCUACCCAUCUGUACUCAUCUUUGCAGCAGCAAUAA